CAGCCGCCGCGAUAAUACCGGCGGCCCGAGUGGCGGUCACUAUUAUUGGGCUUAAAGCGUCCGUAGCCGGGUUGGGAAGUCCUCCGGGAAAUCUGGCCGCUUAACGGUCAGAAUGCCGGAGGAUACUCCCAGCCUAGGGAGCGGGAGAGGCCGAGGGUAUUCCCGGAGUAGGGGUGAAAUCCUAUAAUCCCGGGAGGACCACCUGUGGCGAAGGCGCUCGGCUGGAACGCGUCCGACGGUGAGGGACGAAGGCCAGGGGAGCAAACCGGAUUAGAUACCCGGGUAGUCCUGGCUGUAAACGAUGCGGACUUUGUGUCGGACAAGCUAUGAGCUUGUCCGGUGCCGGAGGGAAACCGUUAAGUCCGCCGCCUGGGGAGUACGGCCGCAAGGCUGAAACUUAAAGGAAUUGGCGGG
This 414-nucleotide ribosomal RNA is filed under the name uncultured microorganism. RNAcentral describes it as "bacterial SSU rRNA". It matches the Rfam family "Archaeal small subunit ribosomal RNA", at positions 459 to 872 of the family's 1478-position model. The record is from RNAcentral.